This 305-nucleotide ribosomal RNA is filed under the name uncultured bacterium. Its description in RNAcentral is "bacterial SSU rRNA". It matches the Rfam family "Bacterial small subunit ribosomal RNA", at positions 333 to 631 of the family's 1533-position model. The record is from RNAcentral.
GUUUUCCUACGGGGGGCAGCAGUGGGGAAUUUUGGACAAUGGGCGAAAGCCUGAUCCAGCUAUGCCGCGUGAGUGAAGAAGGCCUUCGGGUUGUAAAGCUCUUUCGGUUGGGAAGAAGUUUAUCUGUUUAAGAGAUGGAUAGAUUGACGGUACCGACAGAAGAAGCACCGGCUAACUACGUGCCAGCAGCCGCGGUAAUACGUAGGGUGCGAGCGUUAUCCGGAUUUAUUGGGUUUAAAGGGUGCGUAGGCGGUCCGUUAAGUCAGCGGUAAAAUUGCGGGGCUCAACCCCGUCGAGCCGUUGAA